RNAcentral lists this transfer RNA (66 nucleotides) under Pirenella pupiformis. Its description in RNAcentral is "tRNA-Arg". Lineage: Eukaryota; Metazoa; Mollusca; Gastropoda; Potamididae. The record is from RNAcentral.
GCAUGAGAAGCGAAGUAUCGCAUUCGGUUUCGGCCCGUACCUUGGAGAAUAAUUCUUCCUCGUGCU